RNAcentral lists this ribosomal RNA (478 nucleotides) under uncultured bacterium. Its description in RNAcentral is "partial 16S ribosomal RNA". It matches the Rfam family "Bacterial small subunit ribosomal RNA", at positions 28 to 507 of the family's 1533-position model. The record is from RNAcentral.
GAUGAACGCUGGCGGCGUGCUUAACACAUGCAAGUCGAACGAGAAGUGAAGACGGAACCCUUCGGGCGGAAGGCUUUAUUUCGAGUGGCGGCCGGGUGAGUAACGCGUGGGUAACCUGCCUCAUACAGGGGGAUAACAGUUGGAAACGACUGUUAAUACCGCAUAAGACCACAGCACCGCAUGGUGCGGGGGUAAAAACUCCGGUGGUAUGAGAUGGACCCGCGUUCGAUUAGCCAGUUGGCGGGGUAACGGCCCACCAAAGCGACGAUCGAUAGCCGAUCUGAGAGGAUGACCGGCCACAUUGGGACUGAGACACGGCCCAAACUCCUACGGGAGGCAGCAGUGGGGAAUAUUGCACAAUGGGGGAAACCCUGAUGCAGCGACGCCGCGUGAGUGAAGAAGUAUUUCGGGAUGUAAAGCUCUAUCAGCAGGGAAGAAAAUGACGGUACCUGAGUAAGAAGCCCCGGCUAACUACGUG